Haliotis rubra (blacklip abalone) is the source of this 419-nucleotide long non-coding RNA. RefSeq lists it as uncharacterized. The transcript is spliced from 3 exons. The record is from RefSeq and is a predicted model, not a curated record. Lineage: Eukaryota; Metazoa; Mollusca; Gastropoda; Lepetellida; Haliotidae.
GGAUGCGAACAAAUCAUACUUACUUCAAAUAGCCCGAACUGGUCAUUUGACCUACUUAUUGUUCAAGACUUGUGUCUUCAGUCUUAUACAUGUACCAGUUACUAUCAUGUAACUAGACAUGUAUCUCAAUGUGCCAAUACAGGCAUAAAAACAUUACUGCGAUGUACAGAUACUGAGUGAGGACAGUAUCAUGAUGUACCAAUAUUGGGUGAGGACAGUAUCACAAUCUACAAAUAUUGGGUGAGGACAUUAUCGCGAUGUACCAAUAUUGGGUGUUGACAGUAUCGCGAUGUACCAAUAUUGGGUGAGGACAGUAUCACAAUGUACCAAUAUUGGGUGAGGACAGUAUCGCGAUGUACCAAUAUUGGGUGAGGACAUUGGGGUGUACCAAUAUUGGGUGAGGACAAUAUUGCAAUCUA